CACAACCCCCACGCCGCUCCCUCCUCCCUCCCUCAGCCGCCUCCAUGCUCCCUCCCACCUUCUCCUCCUCCUCCUUCUCCGCCUAGGAGCCUCGCCGCCGACGGCUACUCCUCCACCGCCUCGCCUCUUCCUCCUUCUCGCCUUCCCAUCGCUCGCGCGCAGGUCACCCGACGGCAGGGGUGGUCAUGAAGGCUUCCCAGACUGACGGAGGAGCACGCCGCCGCCGCACGCCGCCCGUCCCGACGCGCGUCCGCAUCCGCCCCGACGCAGCCUGGCCGAUCUUUCUCGGGAGGCAGCGAGAGUUGCAGGCGCCGCGGUUGGCGUGCACGCGCUGCUCAACUGGGUCGUCGUGGCCAGGCUCUGCCGCGGCCUCCUGGGCGCGGCCAUGGUCGGCAACGCCUCCUGGUGACUCAUCAACGCGGCUCAGUUUGUGUACGUCGUCGGCGGCUCCUUCCCGGAGGCGUGGACGGGGUUCUCGCGCAAGGCGUUCGCCAGCCUCGGCGGCUUCAUCAGGCUCUGCCUCACGUCGGCAGUUAUGCUCUGGUUUUUACUUCCGUUGCUUCCUGGUCUAAUUAGUAUAUACAGACGCUUUGGGUCGUACUUCCGUUGCUUCCUAAUCUAAUUAGUAUCUACAGACGAAAUUCUUUCAUCACCCAUCAGCGCUUCUGUUUCCUUCUGAGUAGGAGUGAUUUCUGUGCUGCAGCUUAGAGAUGUGGUACUACACGGCAGUAAUUGAUGGCACGGCCGAGCAAGAGGAUUCCGGUGCUGUGCACGCACCUGAUCGGGUGGUCGUCAUUUUCUCCGCCUUGGGCAGCACCAGUUGAGCUAUAGGUUGUCAGAUCUGUUGUAUGAGGCAAUAAUGAAUAAGAACAAUAUCAGCCUUUUAAUGUGCAGGUUUAUGACUGCAUUACGGAUCUUGGUGGCUGCCUGUACAUGUCAUUUCUGUAGUUCGAUUAUGCAUUACCUGCAAUUAGUCAAGUGAUUAGUUAUUACCUGUAGUAUCUGGACCUUAUUUGGUUUGGUCAACUUAGUCAUUCAUCAUCCAUUUUUCUAAAUUUAUUGGUAUUUUUAAUAUGUCAUUUGUGUCAGCAUACUAAUGUCACAUCUUGUAAUUGUUUGUCUACCAGGAAAUCAAAUUAUUAAGCUGCCUCCGUUGCUAAUGGAUAAUGAGUAAAAACUACAUUUAUGAAUAUUAUAUGCAAAACUCUUCCUUUGUGCUGCUCCUGUGUAGAUUGGGUCAAAUAUGUAGUACAUGCACUAAUUUGGCUCAUUGCCUCGCUUCAUCGUUGUGUAGAUGCAAAACAUUUUUCCCUUGUGCUGAAUGUUUGCCACUGUUUCCAUUUUUGCUCAUUUUGAUAUAACCAAACGGACCCCAUGGAUUUGAGGUUGUCAUGCAUGUAAUGCUUGGAUAUGCCCUUAUUUGUAUCUAAAUAUAUGCAGAGCCGGUCCUGAGAUUCUAGGGGCCCGGGGCAAAACUAAAACUCGGGGCCCUUUAAUAUAACAUCAAUAGUUACUAUUACUAAUAUAUUUUUAAAUGCAUUCAAAAUCAAUAUUAUACUAGAUAACUUGUACGUAUUACCUUAACAUUUU
This 1590-nucleotide ribosomal RNA is filed under the name Triticum aestivum (bread wheat). RNAcentral describes it as "partial small subunit ribosomal RNA". The record is from RNAcentral. Lineage: Eukaryota; Viridiplantae; Streptophyta; Magnoliopsida; Poales; Poaceae.